RNAcentral lists this long non-coding RNA (434 nucleotides) under Brassica napus (rape). RNAcentral's name for it is "long non-coding RNA (BNAP_LNC022485)". Lineage: Eukaryota; Viridiplantae; Streptophyta; Magnoliopsida; Brassicales; Brassicaceae. The record is from RNAcentral.
CUUGAAGAAACAGUGAUUUUUUUUUUUUUUGAAUAAAUGUAAAAUUUUUAUUCAAAACUAUUUUUUGUACAUCAAAUGCUUCUAUUUUAAGUAUAAACAAGCAGAAAGCUCUAGCAAACUAACUCAAAAUUUCAUGGCCUUGACUCUCUAGUCCCAAACCAUGUGGACAAGCUCUCCUCAAAAUGUUUUUCCCCAAUCCCUUCACCAUUAGAAGCUUUAAGCGGAUUGCUUUAUCCACAAAUCUAGUAAUCAUGCCUGCACUUUGUAGUUUUUCUCCAUGUCUACGGUUGUUCCUUUCUCUCCAUAAGGCAUGAACCGUGGCUUGGAAUGUGUAUCGUAGAAGGAAUCGUUUAGUUGGUGGUAAAAUGGUUUGCGAGACCAUCCCAACUAUAUGAUUCCAUUCCGUGGUGAAAACUCCUUGCAAGAUACCCCUC